This 250-nucleotide ribosomal RNA is filed under the name uncultured bacterium. RNAcentral's name for it is "partial 16S ribosomal RNA". It matches the Rfam family "Bacterial small subunit ribosomal RNA", at positions 524 to 773 of the family's 1533-position model. The record is from RNAcentral.
UACGGAGGAUCCGAGCGUUAUCCGGAUUUAUUGGGUUUAAAGGGUGCGUAGGCGGCAUGCUAAGUCAGGGGUGAAAGACGGUGGCUCAACCAUCGCAGUGCCUUUGAUACUGGUGUGCUUGAAUGCGGCUGAGGUAGGCGGAAUGUGGCAAGUAGCGGUGAAAUGCAUAGAUAUGCCACAGAACACCGAUUGCGAAGGCAGCUUACCAAAGCGUAAUUGACGCUGAUGCACGAAAGCGUGGGGAUCGAAC